GACGAGGGGUCCUAGCGUUGUUCGGAAUUACUGGGCGUAAAGCGCGUGUAGGCGGUUUUCCAAGUCGGGUGUGAAACCUCCAGGCUCAACCUGGAGACGCCACUCGAUACUGUCGUGACUAGAGUCCAGUAGGGGAGCGUGGAAUUCCUGGUGUAGCGGUGAAAUGCGCAGAUAUCAGGAAGAACACCCGUGGCGAAGGCGGCUCUCUGGGACGGUACUGACGCUGAGACGCGAAAGCGUGGGGAGCGAACAGG
RNAcentral lists this ribosomal RNA (254 nucleotides) under uncultured bacterium. RNAcentral's name for it is "partial 16S ribosomal RNA". It matches the Rfam family "Bacterial small subunit ribosomal RNA", at positions 524 to 776 of the family's 1533-position model. The record is from RNAcentral.